RNAcentral lists this ribosomal RNA (440 nucleotides) under uncultured bacterium. RNAcentral's name for it is "partial 16S ribosomal RNA". It matches the Rfam family "Bacterial small subunit ribosomal RNA", at positions 338 to 795 of the family's 1533-position model. The record is from RNAcentral.
CCUACGGGAGGCAGCAGUGGGGAAUAUUGCACAAUGGGGGAAACCCUGAUGCAGCGACGCCGCGUGAGUGAAGAAGUAAUUCGUUAUGUAAAGCUCUAUCAGCAGGGAAGAAAAUGACGGUACCUGAGUAAGAAGCCCCGGCUAACUACGUGCCAGCAGCCGCGGUAAUACGUAGGGGGCAAGCGUUAUCCGGAUUUACUGGGUGGAAAGGGAGCGUAGACGGCAGUGCAAGUCUGGAGUGAAAGGCGGGGGCUCAACCCCCGGACUGCUCUGGAAACUGUACGGCUGGAGUGCAGGAGAGGUAAGUGGAAUUACUAGUGUAGCGGUGAAAUGCGUAGAUAUUAGGAGGAACACCAGUGGCGAAGGCGGCUUACUGGACUGUAACUGACGUUGAGGCUCGAAAGCGUGGGGAGCAAACAGGAUUAGAUACCCUAGUAGUC